GACGAACGCUGGCGGCGUGCUUAACACAUGCAAGUCGAACGGAAAGGCCCUGCUUUUGUGGGGUGCUCGAGUGGCGAACGGGUGAGUAACACGUGAGUAACCUGCCCUUGACUUUGGGAUAACUUCAGGAAACUGGGGCUAAUACCGGAUAGGAGCUCCUGCUGCAUGGUGGGGGUUGGAAAGUUUCGGCGGUUGGGGAUGGACUCGCGGCUUAUCAGCUUGUUGGUGGGGUAGUGGCUUACCAAGGCUUUGACGGGUAGCCGGCCUGAGAGGGUGACCGGCCACAUUGGGACUGAGAUACGGCCCAGACUCCUACGGGAGGCAGCAGUGGGGAAUAUUGCACAAUGGGCGGAAGCCUGAUGCGGCAACGCCGCGUGCGGGAUGACGGCCUUCGGGUUGUAUACCGCUUUCGCCUGUGACGAAGCGUGAGUGACGGUAAUGGGUAAAGAAGCACCGGCUAACUACGUG
This 468-nucleotide ribosomal RNA is filed under the name uncultured bacterium. RNAcentral describes it as "partial 16S ribosomal RNA". It matches the Rfam family "Bacterial small subunit ribosomal RNA", at positions 28 to 507 of the family's 1533-position model. The record is from RNAcentral.